This is a non-coding RNA of Vicia faba (fava bean), 258 nucleotides long. The record is from the annotation of a GenBank genome assembly. Lineage: Eukaryota; Viridiplantae; Streptophyta; Magnoliopsida; Fabales; Fabaceae.
AUGUACCGGCAAUCAUUUUUGGAGAAGAAGGGCCUUACAAAUAUGGAGAUUGAUAAAGUCUUUCGGCGUGUGCCUUUAAGCCAUGACUUUUUUUGUUGUAAAAUAGUUAUCUUUCAUACACUUUCCUGUAUGUUCAUCUCUUUUGCCAAUAGAGUUUGUCUCUUUGUUAAGAGAACAUGCGGAUCAGAUGUUUGCCAUUCUAGCAAUGUAUUCAUAUCUUGUAGAUCUCUUCUAUUAAAAUCAAAAUAUUACAUUUAG